UUACAACUCAAUCAAUUUGCAAUGGUGGUUUCAUAUAUUUUAGUUUCUUUCACAUGCUUAAAAGGAAUGUCUCAGAUUUUUGUUCUGCUGUCCGCGGAAUAUUCCGAUUAUGAUAGUCAUGAAAGCAAUGGGAAUAUUAAGCGAUCAAUAGGUUGUACAGAUGAUUGGCAGAAAUCCUAGAUACAGUGCCCUACUUCUUCCAUCAUUUGAGGAAUGCGCAAGCCUCGGUAUAUUUACGCAACAACAAGCUCUUGAGUUCCUCGAGGGAAAGUUUAAGAAGUUGCCAUAUGCAAAUACUUCAACUGGAGAGGCUGUGCCAAGCUGAAGGACACGCUAUUACAAAUUAUCGAGUUUGCCCUAGUGUCGAGUACUUACCAGCACUUCCCGAGUGGCUCUUACUUUGUUUGUAUGACUUGUUCAGGAAGGCAGAGCUAUGUCUAUACUUCAAGAUGUAUUUCUUGCCAACGUGCGGGUAAUCUUCGCUUUAAUGUCUUUCUCUUAAACAUCAUUAGCAUAAGCCGGCUCUUAUUUAUUUAUGUAAUAUGUAUAUAUGGAUCUUUGCUUUAAUGUCUUUC
This is a long non-coding RNA of Syzygium oleosum, 575 nucleotides long. RefSeq lists it as uncharacterized. The record is from RefSeq and is a predicted model, not a curated record. The transcript is spliced from 3 exons. NCBI's taxonomy places the organism in Eukaryota, Viridiplantae, Streptophyta, Magnoliopsida, Myrtales, Myrtaceae.